UGCCUGUUUACCUGGUGUCACUGGGU
This 26-nucleotide non-coding RNA is filed under the name Mus musculus (house mouse). The record is from RNAcentral. Lineage: Eukaryota; Metazoa; Chordata; Mammalia; Rodentia; Muridae.